This 450-nucleotide ribosomal RNA is filed under the name uncultured bacterium. RNAcentral describes it as "partial 16S ribosomal RNA". It matches the Rfam family "Bacterial small subunit ribosomal RNA", at positions 354 to 796 of the family's 1533-position model. The record is from RNAcentral.
GUGGGGAAUUUUGGACAAUGGGGGCAACCCUGAUCCAGCCAUCCCGCGUGUGCGACGAAGGCCUUCGGGUUGUAAAGCACUUUUGGCAGGAAAGAAAUUGCCUGGGUUAAUACCCUGGGUAGAUGACGGUACCUGCAGAAUAAGCACCGGCUAACUACGUGCCAGCAGCCGCGGUAAUACGUAGGGUGCAAGCGUUAAUCGGAAUUACUGGGCGUAAAGCGUGCGCAGGCGGUUCGGAAAGAAAGAUGUGAAAUCCCAGGGCUUAACCUUGGAACUGCAUUUUUAACUACCGGGCUAGAGUGCGUCAGAGGGGGGUGGAAUUCCGCGUGUAGCAGUGAAAUGCGUAGAUAUGCGGAGGAACACCGAUGGCGAAGGCAGCCCCCUGGGAUGAUACUGACGCUCAUGCACGAAAGCGUGGGGAGCAAACAGGAUUAGAAACCCUUGUAGUCC